GAUGAACGCUAGCUACAGGCUUAACACAUGCAAGUCGAGGGGUAACGAGAGGAAAGCUUGCUUUCCUUGUCGACGACCGGCGCACGGGUGAGUAACGCGUAUCCAACCUGCCCCCAACUAGGGAAUAACCUUGCGAAAGUAAGACUAAUACCCUAUAAUUUCCUCAGAUGACAUCUGACGAGGAAUAAAGAUUUAUCGGUUGUGGAUGGGGAUGCGUCUGAUUAGCUUGGUGGCGGGGUAACGGCCCACCAAGGCAACGAUCAGUAGGGGUUCUGAGAGGAAGGUCCCCCACAUUGGAACUGAGACACGGUCCAAACUCCUACGGGAGGCAGCAGUGAGGAAUAUUGGUCAAUGGGCGGAAGCCUGAACCAGCCAAGUAGCGUGCAGGAUGACGGCCCUAUGGGUUGUAAACUGCUUUUAUACAGGAAUAAAGUUAGCCACGUGUGGUUAUUUGUAGGUACUGUAUGAAUAAGGACCGGCUAAUUCCGUGCCAGCCGCCGCGGUAA
This 506-nucleotide ribosomal RNA is filed under the name uncultured bacterium. RNAcentral describes it as "partial 16S ribosomal RNA". It matches the Rfam family "Bacterial small subunit ribosomal RNA", at positions 28 to 523 of the family's 1533-position model. The record is from RNAcentral.